Molecule: ribosomal RNA, 388 nt
Filed under: uncultured bacterium
Lineage: Bacteria
Description: bacterial SSU rRNA
Rfam family: Bacterial small subunit ribosomal RNA
Source: RNAcentral
CGGGUUGUAAAGCACUUUCAGUAGGGAGGAAGGUAGUGUAGUUAACACCUGCACAUUUGACGUUACCUACAGAAGAAGCACCGGCUAACUCCGUGCCAGCAGCCGCGGUAAUACGGAGGGGUGCGAGCGUUAAUCGGAAUUACUGGGCGUAAAGCGCAUGCAGGCGGCCUGUUAAGUCAGAUGUGAAAGCCCGGGGCGUUAACCUCGGAAUUGCAUUUGUAAACUAGGCAGGCUAGAGUCUUGUAGAGGGGGGGUAGGAAUUUCAGGUGUAGCGGUGAAAUGCGUAGAGAUCUGAAGGAAUACCAGUGGCGAAGGCGGCCCCCUGGACAAAGACUGACGCUCAGAUGCGAAAGCGUGGGGAGCAAACAGGAUUAGAUACCCCUGGUAG